CAUCCUUAGUUUUUAGGCUACGAUGUACCAUGAGAACUCCACGUUGUCCGCUUAAUAAUUAUCAGUUUGUAGUCAUUCUCUAUUUCUUUAAUUUCUUAAAACUACCUGCUAAUUUGUUCAUAAAAAAUUGGACUGCUUUUUCGUUUCCGUGUGGACUGCCAAAUGUUCGUUGACAGGAAUGCGGAAGAACGAAGUUUAUUGGCAUUUGUAACUGACAUGGCUCCAGGGGUUUUUUGAACGUGUUUAUAAUCAAAAUUCCGCAAUAAUGCCUCCUACCUAUCCUUGCACUCAACUUUGUUUUGACAUUAAAUACUAGAAAUUCCACAGUCAAUACAACUCGUACUUUCAGUGUAAAUAUCCACAGCUAUUUACUACGCAAGUUAGUGCAAUUCCAUAUGAGGAUAUAUGAAAGGACCAAAUAUCGUUUUGUUAACUUGUUCUAUUAUAUAAUCGGCAUAUCAUUGUAUGCAGUGGGAAUUUAUGCACCGGGAUCGCCAAAUAUAAUAAAUAUUCUAUUACAGAGGUUUUAUGUAUAUUUUUAACAAUUGGGUUUAUCUCUAAUCACGGGUCGACCAAACGUAACAAAAGGAUGCUGGCAGAAAUAAUAUAAUAUAAGUGAUUUUAAUGAAACCGUCAAAAACUUUGCUCGUA
This is a non-coding RNA of Schizosaccharomyces pombe (fission yeast), 651 nucleotides long. Lineage: Eukaryota; Fungi; Ascomycota; Schizosaccharomycetes; Schizosaccharomycetales; Schizosaccharomycetaceae. The record is from the annotation of a GenBank genome assembly.